GAUGUCAGCUGGGUGAACCAAGAGAUCGGCCAGCUAGACCAUCUGAGGCCCCCAGAGAUUUCAGGCAUUCUAAGGUGAGGACACUGACGUGUAAAAGGUAAAGUGUUACCCCAGUUACUCAGCUACCUGGAGGCAGAGCUGAGCUACAGCGCAGGCAUCCUGACUCAGCUCCCUGUCCAGCAGACCACACAGACGACUGCGUAACCUUCAGCCACCACUGCACCAUGGAGCCCUGGCAGAAAACAGGCCCAUUCCAAACUCUUGACAAUGUUCAGAAUGCAUCACCCUGAUGUGAGACAGGAAACCUGGAAAGCCAAGUCUCCCCUGCAGCUUCAAUUGUUGCUAUAGCUACAAUCAAAUCAUUUAAGACUUUUAGAAGAAAACUAAGCUUUGUCUGGUGUCAUAAAGAUGGAGUAUACCUAUUUCAGUUUCAGCAAGAUUUGUGUGAAUGUUACGGAGAGAUGGAAACAGUCGCAUCGCUCAGGAAACAUUCAGGAGGUGCUGCAGGGUGCUGAGCACCUCAGGAGACCCUGGGAUGAGUGAGGCUUCGGUCCCACCUUCUGGGAGGUCAGACUGCAGCUGGAGGGAGAUUCUGACUGUCCAAGGCAAUAUUGGGUCUCUGCUCGGAACCUUCAGAAGUGGUGGGUGACUCUGAACCAUGCGGUGACCCAAACUCCUGGAGGUUUUACCCAACAACUAUACUCAUGGCUUCUCUGAG
This is a non-coding RNA of Heterocephalus glaber (naked mole-rat), 718 nucleotides long. The record is from RefSeq and is a predicted model, not a curated record. NCBI's taxonomy places the organism in Eukaryota, Metazoa, Chordata, Mammalia, Rodentia, Bathyergidae.